GAGUUUGAUCGUGGCUCAGGACGAACGCUGGCGGCGCGCCUAACACAUGCAAGUCGAACGGAGUUAUUCUGAAUGAAGUUUUCGGAUGGAUUUUGGAUUAACUUAGUGGCGAACGGGUGAGUAACGCGUGAGUAACCUGCCCUGGAGUGGGGAACAACAGUUAGAAAUGACUGCUAAUACCGCAUAUGCCUUAAGCAUCACAUGGUGCUAGAGGGAAAGGACAAUCCGCUGAUAGAUGGGCUUGCGUCUGAUUAGCUAGUUGGUGGGUAAUGGCCUACCAAGGCGACGAUCAGUAGCCGAACUGAGAGGUUGAACGACCACAUUGGGACUGAGAUACGGCCCAGACUCCUACGGGAGGCAGCAGUCGGGAAUAUUGCGCAAUGGAGGAACUCUGACGCAGUGACGCCGCGUGCAGG
Molecule: ribosomal RNA, 416 nt
Filed under: uncultured bacterium
Lineage: Bacteria
Description: bacterial SSU rRNA
Rfam family: Bacterial small subunit ribosomal RNA
Source: RNAcentral